RNAcentral lists this ribosomal RNA (1806 nucleotides) under human oral metagenome. RNAcentral's name for it is "bacterial LSU rRNA". It matches the Rfam family "Bacterial large subunit ribosomal RNA", at positions 169 to 2007 of the family's 2925-position model. The record is from RNAcentral.
GCGAAAGCGAGGUAACGCAGGGAACUGAAACAUCUAAGUACCUGUAGGAAGAGAAAGAAAAAUCGAUUUCCUAAGUAGCGGCGAGCGAAAGGGAAAGAGGCCAAACCGUUAGUUUACUAACGGGGUUGUGGAUCACAGCCGUGGUAGAUACAAGUUUAGCAGAAGACAACUGGAAAGUUUGCGACACAGAGGGUAAUAUCCCCGUAUGCGAAAAAUGAGUAUCACCUAUGUGACACCGGAGUAGGACCGAACACGUGGAAUUCGGUUUGAAGCCGGGGGGCCCACCCCCCAAGCCUAAAUACUACCCAGUGACCGAUAGUGAAUAGUACCGUGAGGGAAAGGUGAAAAGGACCCCGGGAGGGGAGUGAAAUAGAACCUGAAACCUUAUGCUUACAAGCAGAGGGAGCGCAAGUGACCUCGUACUUUUUGUAGAACGGGCCAACGAGUUAUGGUAUGCAGCGAGGUUAAGGUGCUGGAGCACUGGAGCCGUAGAGAAAUCGAGUCUGAAAGGGCGAAAGUUGCAUGCUGUAGACCCGAAACCGGGUGAUCUAUCCAUGUCCAGGUUGAAGUAACUGUAAUAGGUUAUGGAGGACCGAACUUAUAUCUGUUGAAAAAGGUUAGGAUGAGGUGUGGAUAGGGGUGAAAUUCCAAUCGAACUCGGAUAUAGCUGGUUCUCCUCGAAAUAGCUUUAGGGCUAGCCUCGUAGUAAGAUACCUGGGGGUAGAGCACUGAAUGUUCUAGGGGCCUUCACCGGUUACCGAAAACUAUCAAACUCCGAAUACCAGAGUAUCAUCUACGGGAGUCAGACUAUGUGAGAUAAGUUUCAUAGUCGAAAGGGAAACAGCCCAGACCGUCAGCUAAGGUCCCAAAAUAUAGGUUAAGUGGAAAAGGAUGUGGGGUUGCACAGACAGCUAGGAUGUUGGCUUAGAAGCAGCCAUUCAUUCAAAGAGUGCGUAAUAGCUCACUAGUCGAGUGACCCUGCGCCGAAGAUAAACGGGGCUAAAACCUAUUACCGAAGCUACGGAUACUUAAUGUAUGGUAGAGGAGCGUCGUAUACGGGUUGAAGCAGUACUGUAAGGUAUUGUGGACUUUAUACGAGAGAGAAUGUUGGCAUGAGUAGCGCGAGGCAGGUGAGAAUCCUGCCCACCGAAAAUCUAAGGUUUCCUGAGGAAGGUUCGUCCACUCAGGGUUAGUCGGGGCCUAAGCCGAGGGCGAAAGCCAUAGGCGAUGGAUAACAGGUAGAAAUUCCUGUACCACCGAAGGUUGUUUGAAUGAUGUGGGGACACAGGAGGAUAAGCUGAGCACGCCGUUGGUAGAGCGUGUCCAAGCGUCAAGGGAGUAUGAAUAGGCAAAUCCGUUCAUAUAUAUUCUGAGGCGUGAUGGGGUGGUCAAUAGACCGGAAGCAGCUGAUUUCACACUGUCAAGAAAAGCCGCUAAUUAGACCUAAGGUGCCCGUACCGCAAACCGACACAGGUAGAUGAGGAGAGAAUCCUAAGGUGAGCGAGAGAACUAUUGUUAAGGAACUCGGCAAAAUAACCCCGUAACUUCGGGAGAAGGGGUGCCUGCUUCGGCAGGCCGCAGUGAAAAGGCCCAGGCAACUGUUUACCAAAAACACAGGUCUCUGCAAAAGCGAAAGCUGAAGUAUAGGGGCUGACGCCUGCCCGGUGCUGGAAGGUUAAGGGGACGUGUCAUCGCAAGAGAAGCACUGAACUUAAGCCCCAGUAAACGGCGGCCGUAACUAUAACGGUCCUAAGGUAGCGAAAUUCCUUGUCGGGUAAGUUCCGACCCGCACGAAAGGCGUAAUGA